GUUGAAACACAAGUUCCCGUUCGAUCAUCGAAGUUAAGCAACGUCGAGCCUGAUCAGUACCUAGAUGGGUGACCGCUUGGGAAUGCCAGGUACAGUA
This 97-nucleotide ribosomal RNA is filed under the name Acanthosepion pharaonis. Lineage: Eukaryota; Metazoa; Mollusca; Cephalopoda; Sepiida; Sepiidae. The record is from RNAcentral.